GGGGAUUUAGCUCAGCGGCAUAAGCACCUGCCUUGCAAGCAGGCAGUCUUGAGUUCGAUCUCCAGAGAAACUCCA
Non-coding RNA from Cavia porcellus (domestic guinea pig), 75 nucleotides. NCBI's taxonomy places the organism in Eukaryota, Metazoa, Chordata, Mammalia, Rodentia, Caviidae. The record is from Rfam.